GACGAACGCUGGCGGCGUGCCUAAUACAUGCAAGUCGAGCGAAGUUUUUCUGGUGCUUGCACUAGAAAAACUUAGCGGCGAACGGGUGAGUAACACGUAAAGAACCUGCCUCAUAGACUGGGACAACUAUUGGAAACGAUAGCUAAUACCGGAUAACAGCAUUAACGGCAUGGUUGAUGUUUAAAAGUUGGUUUUGCUAACACUAUGAGAUGGCUUUGCGGUGCAUUAGCUAGUUGGUGGGGUAAAGGCCUACCAAGGCGACGAUGCAUAGCCGACCUGAGAGGGUGAUCGGCCACACUGGGACUGAGACACGGCCCAGACUCCUACGGGAGGCAGCAGUAGGGAAUCUUCCGCAAUGGGCGAAAGCCUGACGGAGCAACGCCGCGUGAGUGAAGAAGGAUUUCGGUUCGUAAAGCUCUGUUGUUAGGGAAGAAUGAUUGUGUAGUAACUAUACACAGUAGAGACGGUACCUAACCAGAAAGCCACGGCUAACUACGUG
Molecule: ribosomal RNA, 499 nt
Filed under: uncultured bacterium
Lineage: Bacteria
Description: partial 16S ribosomal RNA
Rfam family: Bacterial small subunit ribosomal RNA
Source: RNAcentral